Molecule: ribosomal RNA, 348 nt
Filed under: uncultured Rhodoferax sp.
Lineage: Bacteria; Pseudomonadati; Pseudomonadota; Betaproteobacteria; Burkholderiales; Comamonadaceae
Description: bacterial SSU rRNA
Rfam family: Bacterial small subunit ribosomal RNA
Source: RNAcentral
CACAGGUGCUGCAUGGCUGUCGUCAGCUCGUGUCGUGAGAUGUUGGGUUAAGUCCCGCAACGAGCGCAACCCUUGUCAUUAGUUGCUACAUUCAGUUGGGUACUCUAAUGAGACUUGCCGGUGACAAAGCCGGAGGAAGGUGGGGAUGACGUCAAGUCCUCAUGGCCCUUAUAGGUGGGGCUACACACGUCAUACAAUGGCUGGUACAAAGGGUUGCCAACCCGCAGGGGGAGCCAAUCCCAUAAAGCCAGUCGUAGUCCGGAUCGUAGUCUGCAACUCGACUACGUGAAGUCGGAAUCGCUAGUAAUCGUGGAUCAGAAUGUCACGGUGAAUACGUUCCCGGGUCUU